RNAcentral lists this ribosomal RNA (301 nucleotides) under uncultured bacterium. Its description in RNAcentral is "partial 16S ribosomal RNA". It matches the Rfam family "Bacterial small subunit ribosomal RNA", at positions 509 to 807 of the family's 1533-position model. The record is from RNAcentral.
CAGCCGCCGCGGUAAUACGGAGGGUGCGAGCGUUAAUCGGAAUAACUGGGCGUAAAGGGCACGCAGGCGGUGACUUAAGUGAGGUGUGAAAGCCCCGGGCUUAACCUGGGAAUUGCAUUUCAUACUGGGUCGCUAGAGUACUUUAGGGAGGGGUAGAAUUCCACGUGUAGCGGUGAAAUGCGUAGAGAUGUGGAGGAAUACCGAAGGCGAAGGCAGCCCCUUGGGAAUGUAUUGACGCUCAUGUGCGAAAGCGUGGGGAGCAAACAGGAUUAGAUACCCCUGUAGUCCCUGUCUCUUAUAC